GAGAAGGGGAGUUACAAAAUUAUGCACUUCGAUGCAAUGAAGCAGUAAUUGUCUUGAUUAGAUAUCUUUCAUUAAUGUGCAUCAGCUUUGUUAAAAUCAUGGUAACUUGUAAGAUUGUGAGAUAAUCAACCUGAAAGUCACAUUUUGAUAGGAAAUCAAACAAACACAAUUCAGAAUAAUUAUUGCUGUAGUUACAUUCAUUAGGCAUCAUAAAAUUAAGCAAUUAUAUCCAAGUCCUUGAGGUUUGGUCAUAAUUACAUAUUAAGACAAUCCUUUAUUAAAAUUACAACCCAUCCCAAUCUUUUGAUUCAUUCAUAACAACCAAGUCCAAAGGCAUAUAAUUUUGUAAUUUUCCAAAAUGACCCUAAGACCCCAUGAGAAGUCUAAAUUAUCUCCUAAUUUAGACCCAGUGGGAAGUAUUAUACUAUGCAUUUACAUGGAUUUGGAAAGUUCUCUCAUGUAUUACAGUUGAUGUGGCACGCUGGCAUGCUUCAAUAUGUUUGCCAUUUGGGUGGCAGUAGGUCAGGUCUAUUUGAUCUAAGAUUUGAGUCGCUCACUCUUGUAAGUGCAAACUGGAAUCAUCCAGCGAAUUCAUUGGUUAUAAGAAUACCUGCCCUGUGAAGUUUGUUUAAGUAGCAUUCUAUCUUUGCCGUAUCAAUCCAGUGGAGGUUAAAUUUUUGUUCUUGAUCAUUUCAUUUAUUUGAUAUGGUUCAGGAAUGGCAUUGCUAACUUGGUUGGGCAUUUAAAUUGAUCGGGUCAAAAUACAGGCUGUCAAUUGCUUCUUUAUCCCGUCAUAUGUUCUAUAGUCCUUUGUCUGGUUGCAAUUCCAUGUCAUGUUUGUGGCUAAUCUGCAAUGUCCAUCAGAUUUGAUGGCCUAUAUUAGUCUCUUAAUUAGUUGCAUUGCUUCAAAAGAUUGCUAGAAAAGUUCUCUCUCUCUCUCUCUCU
Molecule: unclassified non-coding RNA, 945 nt
Filed under: Hevea brasiliensis (rubber tree)
Lineage: Eukaryota; Viridiplantae; Streptophyta; Magnoliopsida; Malpighiales; Euphorbiaceae
Source: RNAcentral